CACAACUAUCCUCACCUGAUUUCAGAAACUAAGUAGGAUCAGGCUGGGUUAGUACUUGAAUGGGAGACCAACAGGGAAAUCCUGUUUGGGC
RNAcentral lists this ribosomal RNA (91 nucleotides) under Pogona vitticeps (central bearded dragon). The record is from RNAcentral. Lineage: Eukaryota; Metazoa; Chordata; Lepidosauria; Squamata; Agamidae.